GGUAUUCCUUAUCUAUCUGAUUACGUUAAUUGUCUGGAACCUGUCCCAUUGCACUCUUUGCCCUUCAUUCUUCAGGUCGUAUCUUUGUUGGCUACGCUCCUCACCCCAGUCACAUAGUUCACUAUGCUCCUGGGGAUUCGGUCGCUUGCCGCCGCGAUACAACCUGAAUUAUUUUGGGCAACCAAAAGCGCAAUAAGACAGGUUCUGCGUGAGUUGCCGCGCGUUUAAAGAAC
This 233-nucleotide small RNA is filed under the name Pseudescherichia vulneris NBRC 102420. Its description in RNAcentral is "Escherichia vulneris NBRC 102420 tp2". It matches the Rfam family "tp2". The record is from Rfam by way of RNAcentral. Lineage: Bacteria; Pseudomonadati; Pseudomonadota; Gammaproteobacteria; Enterobacterales; Enterobacteriaceae.